AGCGAAAGCUGCUGCGGUAGAGGAAGAUGCAGCAGUUGCGACAGCUACUGGCCGGAGAAGUGCAGGAGGCGGCUGCUGCGAUAGAGGAAGAUGCAGCAGUUGCGACUGCUAUUGGCCGGAGAAGUGCAGGAGGCGGCUGAUGUCUUCUCUGGUGCUGCCCAACGUGGGGCUGAAGGACCACGUUGUCCUUCCGGCGAAGAAGAAGGAAGAGGAAGGUGCAGCAGUUGCGACUGUUACUGGCCGGGAAGCGAGGAAGACACCGUUGUUCGCCGUUCACUGCUAUUGAGGAGAGAAUGUUUUCCUCCUUGCGUGACGGCGACGGAGAGUGUCUGCUGUAGGCAGCAAAUAGGAGAGGGAGCAAGGCCGGCGAAGAAAAGCAAGACCGGUUAGCACUGGCUCUGAAUCCGUGUCUUGGUGCUUCUUCAAUGACUCCGCUUGAGGCAGCGUGCUACUGUGGCCGCUUGGCUAACACAUGGCGAUGCUGCUGUCGCCAAGAGGAGCUGCUCUGAUACCAUGUUAAAAUAAAGAGAUAAAUGAGUUAUUGAAGAAGAAGUUGAAUGUUAUUGACAUAUCC
This 574-nucleotide long non-coding RNA is filed under the name Musa acuminata (dwarf banana). RNAcentral's name for it is "long non-coding RNA (MACU_LNC004438)". The record is from RNAcentral. Lineage: Eukaryota; Viridiplantae; Streptophyta; Magnoliopsida; Zingiberales; Musaceae.